Molecule: ribosomal RNA, 468 nt
Filed under: uncultured bacterium
Lineage: Bacteria
Description: partial 16S ribosomal RNA
Rfam family: Bacterial small subunit ribosomal RNA
Source: RNAcentral
GACGAACGCUGGCGGCGUGCUUAACACAUGCAAGUCGAACGGAAAGGCCCUGCUUUUGUGGGGUGCUCGAGUGGCGAACGGGUGAGUAACACGUGAGUAACCUGCCCUUGACUUUGGGAUAACUUCAGGAAACUGGGGCUAAUACCGGAUAGGAGCUCCGGCUGCAUGGUGGGGGUUGGAAAGUUUCGGCGGUUGGGGAUGGACUCGCGGCUUAUCAGCUUGUUGGUGGGGUAGUGGCCUACCAAGGCUUUGACGGGUAGCCGGCCUGAGAGGGUGACCGGCCACAUUGGGACUGCGAUACGGCCCAGCCUCCUACGGGAGGCAGCAGUGGGGAAUAUUGCACAAUGGGCGGAAGCCUGAUGCAGCAACGCCGCGUGCGGGAUGACGGCCUUCGGGUUGUCAACCGCUUUCGCCUGUGACGAAGCGUGAGUGACGGUAAUGGGUAAAGAAGCACCGGCUAACUACGUG